Molecule: small nuclear RNA, 107 nt
Organism: Stegodyphus dumicola
Lineage: Eukaryota; Metazoa; Arthropoda; Arachnida; Araneae; Eresidae
Source: RefSeq, a predicted model, not a curated record
GUUCUUGCUUCGGCAGUACAUAUAUUAAAAUUGGAAUGAUAGCGAGAAGAUUAGCCUGGUCCCUGCGCAAGGAUAACAUGAAAAAUCACGAAAUAUUCCAUACAUUA